UGUAAGCGUAUACCAAAGUUGUUGCAGUUAAAACGCUCGUAGUCGGAAUUUGGCAGUUCCGGAUGUGUGCACGUCGUGUGCGCACUUCGCGGGGAUUGCUUUUGUGGUCUUGCGUAGGAUGAGGCACUUUUAUUAGUGAACGUCCUCACGCAACCACUUUUUACUGUGAAAAAAUCAGAGUGCUCAAAGCAGGCAUUUGCCGUGAAUGUAUUAGCAUGGAAUAAUAGAAUAGGACUUGGUUCUAUUUUGUUGGUUUGUUGGGACUGAGUAAUGAUUAAGAGGGACAGUUGGGGGCAUUUGUAUUUCGGUGCUAGAGGUGAAAUUCUUAGAUUACCGAAAGACAAACUGCUGCGAAAGCGUCUGCCAAGGAUGUUUUCAUUGA
This 382-nucleotide ribosomal RNA is filed under the name uncultured eukaryote. Its description in RNAcentral is "partial 18S ribosomal RNA". It matches the Rfam family "Eukaryotic small subunit ribosomal RNA", at positions 592 to 976 of the family's 1831-position model. The record is from RNAcentral.